This 254-nucleotide ribosomal RNA is filed under the name uncultured bacterium. RNAcentral's name for it is "partial 16S ribosomal RNA". It matches the Rfam family "Bacterial small subunit ribosomal RNA", at positions 524 to 776 of the family's 1533-position model. The record is from RNAcentral.
UACGUAGGGUCCGAGCGUUGUCCGGAUUUAUUGGGCGUAAAGAGCUCGUAGGCGGUUCCGUAAGUCGGAUGUGAAAACUCGGGGCUCAACCCCGAGACGCCAUCCGAUACUGCGGUGACUUGAGUCUGGUAGGGGAACACGGAAUUCCUGGUGUAGCGGUGAAAUGCGCAGAUAUCAGGAGGAACACCCGUGGCGAAAGCGGCGCGCUGGACCACUACUGACGCUGAGGAACGAAAGCUAGGGGAGCAAACAGG